GGUUCGAUGGUGUAGUUGGUUAUCACUUCUGUCUAACACCGAAUUUACGUAAGCGAUAACUUGCGUAAUCGACGUCACACAGGCGGUCCUCAGUUCGAACCUGGGUCGAAUCA
Non-coding RNA from Mycena vulgaris, 113 nucleotides. NCBI's taxonomy places the organism in Eukaryota, Fungi, Basidiomycota, Agaricomycetes, Agaricales, Mycenaceae. The record is from the annotation of a GenBank genome assembly.